Molecule: long non-coding RNA, 897 nt
Filed under: Apteryx rowi (Okarito brown kiwi)
Lineage: Eukaryota; Metazoa; Chordata; Aves; Apterygiformes; Apterygidae
Description: lncRNA (ENSARWG00000007016.1)
Source: RNAcentral
ACAAAUAAAUCUUCUGCAGUUGUUUAGAGAAGUCACUCGGAUUACACAAACUCUACUAGAAAGGACUAACGUACAGAGUACCUGUCUUUUUACUUUUAUUAAAAAAAAAAAAAAAAAAAAACUAAAACAAUUAUUAAACUCUCUCAUGGCUAUUUCAUGAUAUUUCCAAGCUUUCCUUUUAAUUUUGUAAUUAAAAAAUAAUAAUUCAAAUAUUCUUGCUAGUAACUAGGCACAAUUUAGUAAUAGAAAGCUCAGAAACUGGUAGUUUCAUUUCAGCAAUCUUUCUAGAUAACUGGAUUCACUGUCUGCUUCACCUUUUAUGCUUGUACCUGAUGUCUGUCUUUUGACAGCUGAGUUUACAGAACCAUCCUUUUUCUGAAGUGUUUCAAGAGGAGAAUCGAAAACACCAGAAAAGGAGAAAAAUUACAAAAAAGUAGAUCAUUCUAUUUCUGUGUCUCUGUUUUGGAUCAACUUUCCCAGGAGGGCCUGGCAGGCCUGCUUCACCUUUGAUGCCUUUCUGUCCUACUGGUCCAGGAGGUCCUGGCUGACCAGGUAACAAAUGUGAACUUACCUGGAAAUCCAGGUAUUCCAUCCCGGCCUGGUGGUCCAGGUGAACCCUGAGGCCCUGGGAGACCAGGUGGUCCUGGAUAUCCUGCAGUUCCUUGGUCACCUGGAGGACCAGGAACAUCGAAGCCUGGAGGACCUGGAUCCCCCUUCUCUCCUGGAAUGCCCUGCAACCCUAGACAAUGUAGUUAAAACACAAUCCUUUAGCAAAAAGCUUUCGUUGUGAUGAAUGACAUGUUUGGAGGAAGAAUUAAAAAAAGAAUGAAUAGCAAAACUGUUCAGUGUCUUCUCCUUGCUGUCUAUGUAAUCAUCACUUACCAGGAGGAACCGAUG